RNAcentral lists this transfer RNA (72 nucleotides) under Bos taurus (domestic cattle). It matches the Rfam family "tRNA". From Rfam's summary of the family: Transfer RNA (tRNA) molecules are approximately 80 nucleotides in length. Their secondary structure includes four short double-helical elements and three loops (D, anti-codon, and T loops). Lineage: Eukaryota; Metazoa; Chordata; Mammalia; Artiodactyla; Bovidae. The record is from Rfam by way of RNAcentral. RNAcentral also lists the same sequence under 1 other name.
UCCCUGGUGGCUUAGCGGAUAAAGUGUCUGCCUGUAAUGCGGGAGACCCAGGUUCGAUCCCUAGGUCGGGAA